CAGUGUGCAGUGAAUGCGUUGAGAUCUGAGAACACGAUGCGAAGCAGCCCCUGGCUAGCACUGACGCUGAUACAGAAAGCGUCGGGAGCAACAGAUAGAUACCUUGUAGUCCACGCCCUAACGAUGCAACUAGUUGUGGAGGAUGACCUCCUUUAGUAACGCAGCUAACGCGUGAAGUUGCCCGCCUUGGGAGUACGGUCGCAAGAUUAAAACUCAAAGGAAUUGACGGGGGCCCGCACAAGCGGUGGAUGAUGUGGUUCAAUUCGAUGCAACGCGAAAAACCUUACCUACCCUUGACAUGCCAGGAAGCCCGAUGAAAGUCGGGUGUGCCCGAAAGGGAACCUGGACACAGGUGCUGCAUGGCUGUCGUCAUCUCGUGUCGUGAGAUGUUGGGUUAAGUCCCGCAACGAGCGCAACCCUUGUCAUUAGUUGCUACGUUCAGUUGGGCACUCUAAUGAGACUGCCGGUGACAAACCGGAGGAAGGUGGGGACGACGCCAAGUCCUCAUGGCCCUUAUGGGUAGGGCCACACACGUCAUACAAUGGCGCAUACAGAGGGGAGCCAACCCGCGAGGGGGAGCAAAUCCCAGAAAGUGCGUCGUAGUCCGGAUUGAAGUCUGCAACUCGACUUCAUGAAGUCGGAAUCGCUAGUAAUCGCGGAUCAGCAUGUCGCGGUGAAUACGUUCCCGGGCCUUGUACACACCGCCCGUCACACCAUGGGAGUGGGUUUCACCAGAAGCAGGUAGCCUAACCGCAAGGGGGGCGCCUACCACGGUGAGAUUCAUGACUGGGGUGAAGUCGUAACAAGGUAACCA
This 814-nucleotide ribosomal RNA is filed under the name uncultured soil bacterium. Its description in RNAcentral is "SSU rRNA". It matches the Rfam family "Bacterial small subunit ribosomal RNA", at positions 668 to 1502 of the family's 1533-position model. The record is from RNAcentral.